Esox lucius (northern pike) is the source of this 1421-nucleotide long non-coding RNA. The record is from Ensembl. Lineage: Eukaryota; Metazoa; Chordata; Actinopteri; Esociformes; Esocidae.
CUCUGUGGUUUUCCUGUGAACAAACUCUACAUCUACACAACUUCUCUACUGAAAUAAUCCUCUGGGUGAAGAUAUUCUGUGAAGUCAGACUAACAGUAAGACUCUCUGAAAAAUGACAUUGUUCAUCCCAGAUAUGGCAGCUGGACGUCUGUUUUUGGUCAUCCUCAUUUUCUAUACCUUCCAACAUGUCAAAGCCCAAGACCGUCCUAAGCCCAGUCUGACUCUGAAACAUGCAGUCAUCAGAGAGAGAGAAUCUAUUCAGCUGAUCUGUGAGACUCCAUCUUUAUCUGUGCCUCAGUGUCACUUCAUCAUAGAGGGGAAACAGAAGUCAAAUCCUUUACCUUGUCAGAUCACACUAACAGGAUAUAAGCUGCUUCACUGGGCAGGUCAAAGUUCACCUGUUGAGGUCAAAAUUCAAUGUUUCUACAUGGUGGAGACAUACUUUCCAUCAACACGCAGUGACCCUGUCUCUUUGAGGAUUCUGGAUCACAGAGACCUCCCUCAGCCCAUUCUGACAGUGAAUCCUAAAGUUAUCGGAGAGAGAGACUCAGUUCAGCUGAGCUGUGUGACUCCUCCAUCUCUCUCUGAGUGUCAGUGUGGUUUCUAUGAAGACGGGAGACCUGCUCUUCCAGACACAUCCUGUAAACAGAUGGUCACAGGAACUCAGCUGCUUUCUUGGACAGGUCAAAAAUCACCAGCUGUGGUCCAGGUCACAUGUUACUACAUUGUAGGAAGAUAUCACACAUCUCCUCCCAGUGACCCAGUCAUUGUCACAUUCCAGGACCCUCCUCAGCCCAAUCUGACAGUGAGUCCUUCAGUCAUCAGAGAGAGAGACACCGUUCAGCUGAUCUGUGAGACUCCUCCAUCUGUAUCGGUGUCUCAGUGUAACUUCAUCAUAGAGGGGAAACAGAUCUCAUAUCCUUCACCAUGUCAAAGCACACUAACAGGAUAUAAGCUGCUUCACUGGGCAGGUCAAAAUUCAUCUGUUGAGGUCAAAAUUCAAUGUUUCUACUUGGUGGAAACAUACUAUCCAUCAACACGCAGUGACCCUGUCUCUUUGAGGAUUCUGGGUUUAACCUCUCCUUUCAUACCCAGCAUGGCAAUUAAUCAUACUUCAGGUUCCACAGUUAGUAUUACUUUGACAAGUGACACCCCAAAGAAAACAACUGUAGGUUCAACCACUGCUUCUAGCACCCCAGCAACUUCAUCAGGUUUAACCUCUCCUUUCAUACCCAGCAUGGCAAUUAAUCAUACUUCAGGUUCCACAGUUAGUAUUACUUUGACAAGUGACACCCCAAAGAAAACAACUGUAGGUUUGACUGUUAGUUCGACUUUGACAACUGGCAGCUCUCAGAGUUCAACUGAAAGAGUUCAAAGCUCCACAAUAACUGUUGUGGAUUCAAACCAAGAGAGCAAUUUGG